GAUGAAGAACGUAGCGAAGUGCGAUAAGUAAUGCGAAUUGCAGAAUUCAGUGAAUCAUCGAAUCUUUGAACGCACAUUGCGCCCGCCAGUAUUCUGGCGGGCAUGCCUGUUCGAGCGUCAUUACAACCCUCAGGCCCCCGGGCCUGGCGUUGGGGAUCGGCGGAAGCCCCCUGCGGGCACAACGCCGUCCCCCAAAUACAGUGGCGGUCCCGCCGCAGCUUCCAUUGCGUAGUAGCUAACACCUCGCAACUGGAGAGCGGCGCGGCCACGCCGUAAAACACCCAACUUCUGAAUGUUGACCUCGAAUCAGGUAGGAAUACCCGCUGAACUUAAGCAUAUCAAUAAGCGGAGGA
Molecule: unclassified non-coding RNA, 353 nt
Filed under: soil metagenome
Description: partial contains 5.8S ribosomal RNA, internal transcribed spacer 2, and large subunit ribosomal RNA
Rfam family: 5.8S ribosomal RNA (bases 1-120)
Source: RNAcentral